UCUUCUUGGCAGAGUCUGUGUUAAGUGAUGUAAGAGAUGGCUUUUCAGCUCUUAUUUCUGUGCCUUUGAGGAUAUAUUGUUGCUAUUUGCUUUCUUAAGCAGAGAUCUGAGCCUCAGAGGGCAUGAUACAAAAAAAGCAGAUAAUCAAAUAACUGAUUUCCUUGCCUGCUUUCCUUGAAGUGUCCAAAAGUGAGAUGCUGGGCUAGAGGCAAACACUGAUAUAUUUACAAGGAGCUGAGAAGAAAAGUGUUUAUUAGUGUCCCUUUGGGUCUGCUCUCCAUGUGGCCACCUUCAUAUUUGCUGCUGCACCACCACGUACAGAAAUGGAAAAUGAAUACCACAAGACACUGCUGGAAAAUCCCGAAAUAUUCAAUGCAGAUCUUCAGAAUUUUUCUCUCUGGGGAUCACUGACUUCAAACCAUGAAGAAAGGGAGAAACGACAUCAUACUAUUUCCAUUAAAAGCAGCCAUGUGUAACCUAUAUUUUUUCCUUUCCUCUUCCCCCCCACCCCAUUUCCCAAUAAUAUUUGCAUUCCAAAAAACUUCAUCUCUUUCUUUUAAUGCAUUGAGGUUAAGCAAAUGAGGUUGCUGCUGACAAUGUUGUUCAUACCACUUGCGUGCUCCUUGUUUUAAGCCAGCACAAGAAAAACUGCUACGUCUGUGUGAAACUCAUUAGAAAACAAAACAUUCUGUCUUUCUUCAUUUGGCCUGCUCCUUCUUGUUUACCAUAAUUAAGUUAUGAGAAAAUCAUCUUACACACUAGGAAUACAAAAUUCUCUGAGUCUUGUAAAUGCAUAAGCUAGAACUGACUUGAUUUCUUUGAAUGGUCCCACAUGCUGUAUUUUCAGAAAACUCUUGCAUAUGAACAGUCAGAAAAGAAAUAAGAAUAAAUGAUUCAGAGAAAAUAGAAGAAAUCUGGAGAAAGGGGAAUAAUUACUAUAAGGCAAAGGUUUCAUCUGACUUUUAAUAGCAUGAAGAAAUAUAAAAUUAAUAAAGAACAGACAGUAUAACACAAGGAAUACAAAAGAAAAAGCAACAUAGUCCCAUGGAAGAUUUUUUUUUGGUUCAGUAAGACUGACUCAAGAAGCUGACUUUGGAUUUAUCACUAGUAGAUUUAUAAAAUAACUGUAGGAAGAGUGUAGAGAAGAGAGAUAAAAGCUGAGUGUGAGACAGACUAAAAAAUGAAAGAGAAAGCAGCACUUACCAUUCACAUAUUGUUCUUUAGAUGUCCAAAGCAGUGUACAGACAUAACUCCUGUAUAAUAUCUGUUCAAGGCAAAUAGGUUUUUAAUUCUCUUUUUACCAGUAGUGACCCCAUAAUAGGAUGAGACCACUUGAGUCUCAUUCUUCUGUUCAUCUCCCCAGAUGAUAAGACUACUAAUCAAAAGACCUGUGUAAGCAUACUGUGUAAUGCACAUUUUCUAUUUUCCACAGUCAAAUCACAGCAAUUACAGGGGCCAUGCUUUAUUGAUCUCUAUAAUGUAAUCUAUAUAUAUAAAAAAAAAGAUAAUGAGAUAAUGGCAUAAAAAUCUUAAAAAGUCAGAAAAAGUAAAAUAUAAAUUAAGAAUUACAUAUUUUGUAAAUUAAAGACAAUGUG
Prinia subflava (tawny-flanked prinia) is the source of this 1595-nucleotide long non-coding RNA. RefSeq lists it as uncharacterized. The transcript is spliced from 3 exons. NCBI's taxonomy places the organism in Eukaryota, Metazoa, Chordata, Aves, Passeriformes, Cisticolidae. The record is from RefSeq and is a predicted model, not a curated record.